AUUGAACGCUGGCGGCAGGCCUAACACAUGCAAGUCGAGCGCGCGGCGGACGGGUGAGUAAUGUAUGGGGAACUGCCCGAUAGAGGGGGAUACCUACUGGAAACGGUGGCUAAUACCGCAUACUAUCGGAUGAACCCAUAUGGGAUUAGCUAGUAGGUGGGGUAACGGCUCACCUAGGCGCCUAUCUCUAUCUGGUCUGAGAGGAUGAUCAGCCACACUGGGACUGAGACACGGUCCAUACUCCUACGGGAGGGAGCAGUGGGGAAUAUUGCACAAUGGGCGCAAGCCUGAGGCAGCCAUGCCGCGUGUAUGAAGAAGGCCUUAGGGGUGUAAAGUACUUUCAGCGGGGAGGCGUUACCCGCAGAAGAAGCACCGGCUAACUCCGUGCCAGCCGCAGCGGUAAUAC
RNAcentral lists this ribosomal RNA (406 nucleotides) under uncultured bacterium. RNAcentral describes it as "partial 16S ribosomal RNA". It matches the Rfam family "Bacterial small subunit ribosomal RNA", at positions 30 to 526 of the family's 1533-position model. The record is from RNAcentral.